Molecule: ribosomal RNA, 464 nt
Filed under: uncultured bacterium
Lineage: Bacteria
Description: partial 16S ribosomal RNA
Rfam family: Bacterial small subunit ribosomal RNA
Source: RNAcentral
CCAGACUCCUACGGGAGGCAGCAGUGAGGAAUAUUGGUCAAUGGCCGGAAGGCUGAACCAGCCAAGUCGCGUGAGGGACGACUGCCCUAUGGGUUGUAAACCUCUUUUAUAAGGGAAGAAUAAAUGCUACGUGUAGCAUGAUGCCUGUACCUUAUGAAUAAGCAUCGGCUAACUCCGUGCCAGCAGCCGCGGUAAUACGGAGGGUGCGAGCGUUAAUCGGAAUUACUGGGCGUAAAGCGCUCGUAGGCGGUAUGUCAAGUCAAGGGUGAAAUCCCCGCGCUCAACGUGGGAACUGCCUUUGAAACUGGCAAACUGGAGUGUGUGAGAGGAUAGUGGAAUUCCAGGUGUAGGAGUGAAAUCCGUAGAUAUCUGGAGGAACAUCAGUGGCGAAGGCGACUAUCUGGCACAUAACUGACGCUGAGGAGCGAAAGCGUGGGUAGCAAACAGGAUUAGAUACCCCCGUA